Transfer RNA from Natrialba asiatica DSM 12278, 71 nucleotides. It matches the Rfam family "tRNA". Rfam says of the family: Transfer RNA (tRNA) molecules are approximately 80 nucleotides in length. Their secondary structure includes four short double-helical elements and three loops (D, anti-codon, and T loops). Further hydrogen bonds mediate the characteristic L-shaped molecular structure. tRNAs have two regions of fundamental functional importance: the anti-codon, which is responsible for specific mRNA codon recognition, and the 3' end, to which the tRNAs corresponding amino acid is attached (by aminoacyl-tRNA synthetases). tRNAs cope with the degeneracy of the genetic code in two manners: having more than one tRNA (with a specific anti-codon) for a particular amino acid; and 'wobble' base-pairing, i.e. permitting non-standard base-pairing at the 3rd anti-codon position. Lineage: Archaea; Methanobacteriati; Methanobacteriota; Halobacteria; Halobacteriales; Natrialbaceae. The record is from Rfam.
GCGCGGUUGGUCCAGCGGUAGGACAACUGCCUCCCACGCAGUUAGCCCGGGUUCAAUUCCCGGACCGCGCA